Molecule: transfer RNA, 89 nt
Filed under: Acidimicrobiia bacterium
Lineage: Bacteria; Bacillati; Actinomycetota; Acidimicrobiia
Also listed under: 1 other name
Description: tRNA-Ser
Rfam family: tRNA
About the family: Transfer RNA (tRNA) molecules are approximately 80 nucleotides in length. Their secondary structure includes four short double-helical elements and three loops (D, anti-codon, and T loops). Further hydrogen bonds mediate the characteristic L-shaped molecular structure. tRNAs have two regions of fundamental functional importance: the anti-codon, which is responsible for specific mRNA codon recognition, and the 3' end, to which the tRNAs corresponding amino acid is attached (by aminoacyl-tRNA synthetases). tRNAs cope with the degeneracy of the genetic code in two manners: having more than one tRNA (with a specific anti-codon) for a particular amino acid; and 'wobble' base-pairing, i.e. permitting non-standard base-pairing at the 3rd anti-codon position.
Source: RNAcentral
GGAGGGGUGGCCGAGCGGACGAAGGCGGCAGUCUCGAAAACUGUUGGGCCGGGUUUCCGGUCCCGUGGGUUCGAAUCCCACCCCCUCCG